RNAcentral lists this ribosomal RNA (498 nucleotides) under Pseudomonas sp. B3. RNAcentral's name for it is "bacterial SSU rRNA". It matches the Rfam family "Bacterial small subunit ribosomal RNA", at positions 15 to 509 of the family's 1533-position model. Lineage: Bacteria; Pseudomonadati; Pseudomonadota; Gammaproteobacteria; Pseudomonadales; Pseudomonadaceae. The record is from RNAcentral.
GAUCCUGGCUCAGAUUGAACGCUGGCGGCAGGCCUAACACAUGCAAGUCGAGCGGUAGAGAGAAGCUUGCUUCUCUUGAGAGCGGCGGACGGGUGAGUAAUGCCUAGGAAUCUGCCUAGUGGUGGGGGAUAACGUUCGGAAACGGACGCUAAUACCGCAUACGUCCUACGGGAGAAAGCGGGGGACCUUCGGGCCUCGCGCCAUUAGAUGAGCCUAGGUCGGAUUAGCUAGUUGGUGAGGUAAUGGCUCACCAAGGCGACGAUCCGUAACUGGUCUGAGAGGAUGAUCAGUCACACUGGAACUGAGACACGGUCCAGACUCCUACGGGAGGCAGCAGUGGGGAAUAUUGGACAAUGGGCGAAAGCCUGAUCCAGCCAUGCCGCGUGUGUGAAGAAGGUCUUCGGAUUGUAAAGCACUUUAAGUUGGGAGGAAGGGUAGUAACUUAAUACGUUGCUACUUUGACGUUACCGACAGAAUAAGCACCGGCUAAUUCGUGCC